UUAGGAAUUUUCUACGUACGAUAAGCUACAAUAAUAUUGUGAGUCUUAUGCAGAUUUGUAUCUUAAAUUUGUAUGCAAACAUAUUAUGUACGGACUUACGUAAAUCGAACAGAAGGAAAAAAAAAGAAGGAGAUUUUCGCUUCCUUUCAUAAACGGGAACUCUUUCCCGUCCCUCAUUCUUUUGGUUCAAAAAUACCUCGUUCCAGUUUUCGUUCUUAACACUGGAUAUAAUCCGCAUUAACCUUCGUGCCUGCGCACGCCACUAUAAUAACAUUAUAUAGACACGCGUCUCGUUCCGAAAUCAAAGAAAUUAUUUGAAAGGCCAUACAUAUCUUAUAAAUGCAAAUCCGAAUGCUACUGAAAUCAAGAGUGUCGGUAUCAAAAUCAACGAGACAAUAAUUAUGUGUGUAUAAAUGUUAUUUUAAUAUACCGUUCGCGUAUAUAUAAAUGUAUAAUAUUACAUUACAUAAAACUUAUCCGUGUCGCGUGAAGGAGCUUUCAUAAAUUUACACGGUCGCUCGGAGGCGCCGCCGUCAUCGUUGGAAAUUACAGCAGCUUUUGAAAUCAAAAAUUACCCCCCCCCCUACCUCUCCUGCCUUGUAUAUUACGAUAGGUACGUACACUCUUCAGCCGACUCGAAAAUCCAAUCAGUGCGAGAUUCGGUGUAUAGUGGCAGGUGCGUCCCGAAAGUUUCAUCGCGUACGUACAUACAUGUAUAUGUAUAAUAUAGAAAACGACUUUCGACAAGCACGCACACGCUGUAUAGUUGUUGUAUAAUAGGUACGUAAUAUCAUAUAAAAUACAACGUCGUUUCAAUUAAUACGAUGUCUCGUGUGUCUCAUUAAAUAUCGUGUAUAGUAUAAAAUAAUAUAAUAUAUAUAGGUGUAGCGCACGUAUAAUAAUACCUACUCGUAUUAUGACGCCGCGCGCCGCCGCCUUCUACUGAUUGAAUUGAAAACGACAAGGGUCGGGGGAUGAAAUUAAAAAAAAAAAAAAAAAAAAAAAACCAAACGAACGCCGUUGUUUGAGCCAACCGACCGUGAACCGAUUAAGAAUAACGCAGGUACCCCUGUAUAUAUAAUAAUAUUAUAAUCUAGAUCAUUAUGAGGAAUCGGUAGAGUAAAACCGGGUCGUGAACUCGACUUGUGUGCUCGAGUAGAAAAAAAAUAAAUAAGAAUCAUAAUGAUAUUUUAUAAAAUAGAUUAAUUUUGUUCGUCAUUUCGACAGAACCUAUGUAAAUAUUAUAAAUUACAUAUAGUUACAAAGUUAGAAAAACGAGCGUAACUUUCGAGUUAAUUAUACUUGUUUACCGUUGGUUAAUAUUGCAAGCCUGGGAAAUUUAAUGAAUGAGUCAAAAGUUAAUAGCUUUAUCAGUUCACUAAGUUAACUCGCACUAGUUUGAAAAUCUAAUCGACUUUGUAACUUUGGUAAGUUUAUUAUUAUUGUUUCUUUUUUACUUUUAAUUUUAUUUUUAUUUUCGAAAUAAGGAGAACAAUUAAACAUGGAGUUUGUCAUUUUUAUUUUUAAAAAAAGGAUGAUCAAUGUUAAACACUAGGGGAUUAUUCCAAUAAUAUCAAAUUAUUCCUACUCAUUUUACUAACCAUUAAAUAUCUUAGAAAAUCAGUUAUCUGCUUGUUUAGAAAAUAGGAGUUAUGAUUUUAAUUGUUUUAAAUUAACUCGUGAAAAUAAUAUUAAGUAUCAAAGCAUUCACUUUGAUGAGGAUAGGAAAUGGAAAUCACAAAUCAAUCUAAAUAUAAAAAUAAAAAAUAUUGAGAAAGCAAUUCUAUACAUUUAAAGAAUUAAAUAUCAUUUUAGAUCUUUUUAGUUUGCGUAGAGUUUAUUUUUCUCUGGUACAGUCUGUCUUAUCCUACGGUAUAUCCGUAGGAUAAGACGGUAUAUUUUUUGGGGAUCAGCAUACCUAGCCACUGUGGAGCAACUAAACAUUACGCAUAGAGUGUUAAUAAGAAUUACAUUAAAAAGUUAUGACAGAAUGAAUAUUUCACAAAUGUCUGAUAUUCUAUGAACAUUUAUUAUAAACAACUUUUUGAAUACACUUUAUUAAUCUAAUUACAUUCUAAUUUGGGUCCCAGGUAAAUGAGUGCUUAUGAAUUAUUCCUAAUGGAAGAAGGGAGAAGUGUUUUAGGCUUCCCAAACGUAAUUCUUUGGUUUAUCAAAAAUAUUAUCAAUACAAAGCUAUAGCAAUGU
RNAcentral lists this long non-coding RNA (2205 nucleotides) under Cinara cedri. The record is from RNAcentral. Lineage: Eukaryota; Metazoa; Arthropoda; Insecta; Hemiptera; Aphididae.